AUUGAACGCUGGCGGCAGGCUUAACACAUGCAAGUCGAGCGGGGUGAUGGUGCUUGCACUAUCACUUAGCGGCGGACGGGUGAGUAAUGCUUAGGAAUCUGCCUAUUAGUGGGGGACAACAUCUCGAAAGGGAUGCUAAUACCGCAUACGUCCUACGGGAGAAAGCAGGGGAUCACUUGUGACCUUGCGCUAAUAGAUGAGCCUAAGUCGGAUUAGCUAGUUGGUGGGGUAAAGGCCUACCAAGGCGACGAUCUGUAGCGGGUCUGAGAGGAUGAUCCGCCACACUGGGACUGAGACACGGCCCAGACUCCUACGGGAGGCAGCAGUGGGGAAUAUUGGACAGUGGGGGGAACCCUGAUCCAGCCAUGCCGCGUGUGUGAAGAAGGCCUUAUGGCUGUAAAGCACUUUAAGCGAGGAGGAGGCUCUUUUGGUUAAUACCCAAGAUGAGUGGACGUUACUCGCAGAAUAAGCACCGGCUAACUCUGUGCCAGCAGCCGCCGUAA
This 503-nucleotide ribosomal RNA is filed under the name uncultured bacterium. RNAcentral describes it as "partial 16S ribosomal RNA". It matches the Rfam family "Bacterial small subunit ribosomal RNA", at positions 30 to 523 of the family's 1533-position model. The record is from RNAcentral.